UGGUUCUGGCAUCGAUGAAGAACGCAGCGAAAUGCGAUAAGUAAUGCGAAUUGCAGAAUUUCCGUGAGUCAUCGAAUCUUUGAACGCACAUUGCGCCCUUUGGCAUUCCGAAGGGCAUGCCUGUUCGAGCGUCAUUAUCCUCUCUCAAACCCCGGGUUUGGUGUUGGACCGUGUUGGACCGCCCAUGGCCAACUGGUCUUAAAGACAAUGACGGCGUCCCGAGGACCCUCUUCGCACUGAGCUUUCCGGAGCACGCGUCGAGUUGCAAGGACCUCAGGACCCGGUCACCUCUAAAUUUUCUUAAGGUUGACCUCGGAUCAGGUAGGAAUACCCGCUGA
Molecule: unclassified non-coding RNA, 338 nt
Filed under: uncultured fungus
Lineage: Eukaryota; Fungi
Description: partial contains 5.8S ribosomal RNA and internal transcribed spacer 2
Rfam family: 5.8S ribosomal RNA (bases 1-134)
Source: RNAcentral